UGGGGAAUUUUGGACAAUGGGGGAAACCCUGAUCCAGCCAUCCCGCGUGUGCGAUGAAGGCCUUCGGGUUGUAAAGCACUUUUGGCAGGAAAGAAACGUCGCGGGUUAAUACCCCGCGGAACUGACGGUACCUGCAGAAUAAGCACCGGCUAACUACGUGCCAGCAGCCGCGGUAAUACGUAGGGUGCAAGCGUUAAUCGGAAUUACUGGGCGUAAAGCGUGCGCAGGCGGUUCGGAAAGAAAGAUGUGAAAUCCCAGAGCUAACUUUGGAACUGCAUUUUUAACUACCGGGCUAGAGUGUGUCAGAGGGAGGUGGAAUUCCGCGUGUAGCAGUGAAAUGCGUAGAUAUGCGGAGGAACACCGAUGGCGAAGGCAGCCUCCUGGGAUAACACUGACGCUCAUGCACGAAAGCGUGGGGAGCAAACAGGAUUAGAUACCCUGGUAGUCCACGCCCUAAACGAUGUCAACUAGCUGUUGGGGUCUUCGGACCUUGGUAGCGCAGCUAACGCGUGAAGUUGACCGCCUGGGGAGUACGGUCGCAAGAUUAAAAC
Molecule: ribosomal RNA, 551 nt
Filed under: uncultured bacterium
Lineage: Bacteria
Description: partial 16S ribosomal RNA
Rfam family: Bacterial small subunit ribosomal RNA
Source: RNAcentral